This 465-nucleotide unclassified non-coding RNA is filed under the name Daviesia wyattiana. RNAcentral describes it as "partial miscellaneous RNA". Lineage: Eukaryota; Viridiplantae; Streptophyta; Magnoliopsida; Fabales; Fabaceae. The record is from RNAcentral.
CUAGACCUAGCUUCUGGUGAGGCUCCUCUAUAAAUGGAUAAGAUUAUUUGUCUUAAAGUAUACUAGUUAAAGUAAAAGAGCAAUAUCAACAAAGUUGAUAUUGCUCUUUUACUUUAACUAGUAUACUUUUUUUUUACAUCAUUAUACAUAAUGAAUACAUAAUGAUUUACUUCMAUAUGCUUUAGCWUUCUUUAUUUGAAAAUAAGAGAUUCAAAAAAUUGUAGUUUUAUACUUUUUUUUUUAUUUAGUAAUUUCGAUUUUCUUUCUUUUUUUUAUAAAUCUUUUUGAUAUUUUUGUCAUAUGUAAUACAUAUGACUGCACAAUGUAAAAAGCAAAAGAUUUCUUUUUUAUUAUCUUCUCUUAUUGUUAAUCUCUUAUUAUUAAUAUGUAUUAAAAUACAAGUAAAAACUUAUAAGGUAUAAGAAAAGGGAAUGAUAAUAAAAAAAGACUAUAAAUUGAAGUCUS